Molecule: long non-coding RNA, 360 nt
Organism: Passer domesticus (house sparrow)
Lineage: Eukaryota; Metazoa; Chordata; Aves; Passeriformes; Passeridae
Exons: 3
Source: RefSeq, a predicted model, not a curated record
GUCACCUUCUCUGGAGAUAUUAAAAAACCACCAGGACAUGAUCUUGUGAAACCUGCUCUAGGUAAGGCUGCUUUAGCAAGGAAUUGAACUAGAUGCUCACCAAAGGUCCGCUCCAGCCCCAGCCAUUCUGUGAUGCUGUGAUUCCAUGAUUCCGUGGUUUUGUGAUUAUGUGAAUUGAUGGUACACUAUUAUAUUUCAACAUGGAAAAUCAUCACAUAGGAAGAAGCCUAGUAGGAAUUAAUUCCUCCCAAUAUAUACUGAGUGAAACCUGACCCAAUAAAGCAGAUGCCAUUCUCUCCCAAAAUAUAUGGGGAGGAGUACCAGAAGGCUUUCAUUAUCGUCUGAGUGUGUGGGCCCUUU